UUGUGCUAAGGUAGCAUAAUCAUUUGUCUUUUAAUUGAAGACUAGAACAAAAGAUUUAACAAUUCAAUAAAUAUAAAUAAUUAUUUAAUUAACUUUUUCCAAAUGUAAAAAAACAUUUAUAAAACAGAAAGACGACAAGACCCUUUUAAACUUAACUGUAGUUUAACUGGGGCAGUUAAUCAAUUAUCAUUUUAAUAAAAAUAUUAAACAGAAAGAUCCAAUAAAAUUGAUUAAAUGAUCAAGUUACUAUAGGGAUAACAGCGUAAUAUUUAUUCAAAGAUCUUAUUUAAAUAAAAGAUUACGACCUCGAUGUUGAAUUAAUAUCCUAAAUUUAUUGCAACCAAUAG
This 347-nucleotide ribosomal RNA is filed under the name Arachosia albiventris. RNAcentral describes it as "partial 16S ribosomal RNA". Lineage: Eukaryota; Metazoa; Arthropoda; Arachnida; Araneae; Anyphaenidae. The record is from RNAcentral.